This 348-nucleotide ribosomal RNA is filed under the name Triticum aestivum (bread wheat). Its description in RNAcentral is "partial small subunit ribosomal RNA". The record is from RNAcentral. Lineage: Eukaryota; Viridiplantae; Streptophyta; Magnoliopsida; Poales; Poaceae.
AUGGUUGGUGCACUACAGUACUUAACUCUGACUAGACCUAAUAUCUCUUUUGCUGUCAAUAAAGUAUGCCAAUUUCUUCAUGCACCCACUACAGUACAUUUGACAGCUGCAAAACGCAUACUUAGAUAUGUUAAAGAUACCUUGAGCCUUGGAUUAACAUUCAGCAAGUCAUCAUCAACUCUUGUCAGUGCAUUCUCUGAUUCUGACUGGGCAGGUUGUCUGGAUGAUAGGCGCUCAACAGGUGGUUUUGCAGUCUUCUUUGGUCCUAACUUAAUCUCUUGGUGUGCAAAGAAACAAGUUACUGUAUCCAGGUCUAGUACAGAAGCAGAAUAUAAAAGCGUUAGCUAA